AGAGAGGUCGUCAGGAGUCCAGGAUCCAUUGCACCUCCUAGACUGGAUUAGCCUUCCUAUCGGUUAGUCUAUGGGUAACCAAGAGGGAGCAACCCUGGGCCAACGUUCUGCUAAGUGGAGCAAUUAGCAGGGGCAUUCCAUUGGUUUCCAUGGUGACUGCAUCACUUUUAGAACUUUACCCCAGAAUUAUUCUACACAAAAAACCUUCACCAUACUGCAAAUGUACUGGAAACGUUCCAGGUGGAUUUGCAAACACCUGUACAUAAUGUAUAGAUGGUACAGC
Non-coding RNA from Pelobates cultripes (western spadefoot toad), 283 nucleotides. The record is from the annotation of a GenBank genome assembly. Lineage: Eukaryota; Metazoa; Chordata; Amphibia; Anura; Pelobatidae.